AGUGAACGCUGGCGGCAGGCCUAACACAUGCAAGUCGAGCGGCAGCGCGGGGGCAACCCCGGCGGCGAGCGGCGGACGGGUGAGGAAUUCGUCGGAAUCUGCCUUUUUGUGGGGGAUAACGUAGGGAAACUUACGCUAAUACCGCAUACGUCCUACGGGAGAAAGUGGGGGACCGCAAGGCCUCACGCAGAAAGAUGAGCCGACGACCGAUUAGCUAGUUGGUGGGGUAAAGGCCCACCAAGGCGACGAUCGGUAGCUGGUCUGAGAGGAUGAUCAGCCACACUGGGACUGAGACACGGCCCAGACUCCUACGGGAGGCAGCAGUGGGGAAUAUUGGACAAUGGGCGCAAGCCUGAUCCAGCCAUGCCGCGUGUGUGAAGAAGGCCUUCGGGUUGUAAAGCACUUUUGUCCGGAAAGAAAUCCCUGGAGCUAAUACCUUCGGGGGAUGACGGUACCGGAAGAAUAAGCACCGGCUAACUUCGUG
This 484-nucleotide ribosomal RNA is filed under the name uncultured bacterium. RNAcentral describes it as "partial 16S ribosomal RNA". It matches the Rfam family "Bacterial small subunit ribosomal RNA", at positions 29 to 507 of the family's 1533-position model. The record is from RNAcentral.